GUGGCGAAAGCGAGAACUUAGGUCACAACUGACGCUUAGGCUCGAAAGUGUGGGGAUCAAAUAGGAUUAGAUACCCUAGUAGUCCACACUGUAAACGAUGGUCAUUUGUUGUUGGUGCAUCAGCAUCAGUAACGAAGCUAACGCAUUAAAUGACCCGCCUGGGUAGUACAUUCGCAAGAAUGAAACUCAAACGGAAUUGACGGGGACCCGCACAAGUGGUGGAGCAUGUUGUUUAAUUCGACAGUACACGAAGAACCUUACCAGGGUUUGACAUCCUCGGCAAAGCUAUAGAAAUAUAGUGGAGGUUAACCGAGAGACAGGUGGUGCAUGGUUGUCGUCAGCUCGUGUCGUGAGAUGUUGGGUUAAGUCCCGCAACGAGCGCAACCCUUAUUGAUAGUUACUUUAUCUAUCGAGACUGCCAACGUAAGUUGGAGGAAGGUGGGGAUGACGUCAAAUCAUCAUGCCCUUUAUAUCCUGGGCCACAAACGUGCUACAAUGGUUGGUACAAAGUGUUGCCAAACCGUAAGGUGGAGCUAAUCACAAAAAACCAAUCUCAGUUCGGAUUGAGGGCUGAAAUUCGUCCUCAUGAAGUUGGAAUCA
RNAcentral lists this ribosomal RNA (600 nucleotides) under uncultured bacterium. RNAcentral's name for it is "bacterial SSU rRNA". It matches the Rfam family "Bacterial small subunit ribosomal RNA", at positions 712 to 1334 of the family's 1533-position model. The record is from RNAcentral.